GUGUCAGCCGCCGCGGUAAUACAGAGGGUGCGAACGUUGCUCGGAAUUACUGGGCGUAAAGCGCAUGUAGGCGGGUCGGCAAGUCAGAUGUGAAAUCCCCGGGCUCAACCCGGGAACUGCAUCUGAAACUGCCGGUCUUGAGUACUGGAGAGGGUGGCGGAAUUCCUGGUGUAGAGGUGAAAUUCGUAGAUAUCAGGAGGAACACCGGUGGCGAAGGCGGCCACCUGGACAGUCACUGACGCUGAGAUGCGAAAGCGUGGGGAGCAAACAGGAUUAGAUACCCUGGUAGUCCACGCCGUAAACGAUGGGUGCUAGGUGUCUCGGGUAUUGACCCCUGAGGUGCCGUAGCUAACGCGUUAAGCACCCCGCCUGGGAAGUACGGUCGCAAGACUAAA
This 395-nucleotide ribosomal RNA is filed under the name uncultured bacterium. RNAcentral's name for it is "bacterial SSU rRNA". It matches the Rfam family "Bacterial small subunit ribosomal RNA", at positions 505 to 898 of the family's 1533-position model. The record is from RNAcentral.